UACGAAGGGGGCUAGCGUUGCUCGGAAUCACUGGGCGUAAAGGGCGCGUAGGCGGAUUGCUAAGUCAGGGGUGAAAUCCUGGAGCUCAACUCCAGAACUGCCCUUGAUACUGGCGGUCUCGAGUCCGGGAGAGGUGAGUGGAACUGCGAGUGUAGAGGUGAAAUUCGUAGAUAUUCGCAAGAACACCAGUGGCGAAGGCGGCUCACUGGCCCGGUACUGACGCUGAGGUGCGAAAGCGUGGGGAGCAAACAGG
This 253-nucleotide ribosomal RNA is filed under the name uncultured bacterium. RNAcentral describes it as "partial 16S ribosomal RNA". It matches the Rfam family "Bacterial small subunit ribosomal RNA", at positions 524 to 776 of the family's 1533-position model. The record is from RNAcentral.